AUUGAAUGCUGGCGGCAGGCCUAACACAUGCAAGUCGGACGGUAGCACAGAGAGCUUGCUCUUGGGUGACGAGUGGCGGACGGGUGAGUAAUGUCUGGGGAUCUGCCCGAUAGAGGGGGAUAACCACUGGAAACGGUGGCUAAUACCGCAUAACGUCGCAAGACCAAAGAGGGGGACCUUCGGGCCUCUCACUAUCGGAUGAACCCAGAUGGGAUUAGCUAGUAGGCGGGGUAAUGGCCCACCUAGGCGACGAUCCCUAGCUGGUCUGAGAGGAUGACCAACCACACUGGAACUGAGACACGGUCCAGACUCCUACGGGAGGCAGCAGUGGGGAAUAUUGCACAAUGGGCGCAAGCCUGAUGCAGCCAUGCCGCGUGUAUGAAGAAGGCCUUCGGGUUGUAAAGUACUUUCAGCGGGGAGGAAGGCGGCAAGGUUAAUAACCUUGCCGAUUGACGUUACCCGCAGAAGAAGCACCGGCUAACUCCGUGCCAGCCGCCGCCGUAA
RNAcentral lists this ribosomal RNA (504 nucleotides) under uncultured bacterium. RNAcentral describes it as "partial 16S ribosomal RNA". It matches the Rfam family "Bacterial small subunit ribosomal RNA", at positions 30 to 523 of the family's 1533-position model. The record is from RNAcentral.